GAUGAAGAACGUAGCGAAAUGCGAUAAGUAAUGUGAAUUGCAGAAUUCAGUGAAUCAUCGAAUCUUUGAACGCACAUUGCGCCCGCCAGUAUUCUGGCGGGCAUGCCUGUCCGAGCGUCAUUUCAACCCUCGAACCCCUCCGGGGGGUCGGCGUUGGGGAUCGGCCCUGCCUCUUGGCGGUGGCCGUCUCCGAAAUACAGUGGCGGUCUCGCCGCAGCCUCUCCUGCGCAGUAGUUUGCACACUCGCAUCGGGAGCGCGGCGCGUCCACAGCCGUUAAACCCCCGACCCCCAUGAGUUUGACCUCGGAUCAGGUAGGAAUACCCGCUGAACUUAAGCAUAUCAAUAAGCGGAGGA
RNAcentral lists this unclassified non-coding RNA (355 nucleotides) under soil metagenome. RNAcentral describes it as "partial contains 5.8S ribosomal RNA, internal transcribed spacer 2, and large subunit ribosomal RNA". The stretch from base 1 to 120 matches the Rfam family "5.8S ribosomal RNA", at positions 35 to 154 of the family's 154-position model. The record is from RNAcentral.